UACGGGGGGAGCAAGCGUUGUUCGGAUUUACUGGGCGUAAAGAGCGCGCAGGCGGCUGGUCAAGUCCGAUGUGAAAUCUCCCGGCUUAACUGGGAAACUGCAUCGGAAACUGAUCGGCUUGAAGGUGGGAGAGGGUAGUGGAAUUCCCGGUGUAGUGGUGAAAUGCGUAGAUAUCGGGAGGAACACCAGUGGCGAAGGCGGCUUCCUGGACCGGUUCUGACACUGAGGAGCGAAAGCGUGGGGAGCGAUCCGG
Molecule: ribosomal RNA, 253 nt
Filed under: uncultured bacterium
Lineage: Bacteria
Description: partial 16S ribosomal RNA
Rfam family: Bacterial small subunit ribosomal RNA
Source: RNAcentral